RNAcentral lists this ribosomal RNA (561 nucleotides) under Triticum aestivum (bread wheat). RNAcentral's name for it is "partial small subunit ribosomal RNA". Lineage: Eukaryota; Viridiplantae; Streptophyta; Magnoliopsida; Poales; Poaceae. The record is from RNAcentral.
AUGCCUGCGGGUGUUAAUGACACGACAAUCGUAUUGAUUCCAAAAGCCCCUAUGCCUAUGGAUCUAAAGGACUUUCGUCCUAUUAGUCUACGCAAUGUAACUUACAAAGUGGUUUCUAAGUGCAUGGUGAACAGACUAUGUCCGUUGUUGUCAGAAUUAAUCUCAGAGAACCAAAGUGCCUUCAUCCCAGGGCGCUUGAUCACUGACAACACUAUAAUUGCUUUCGAAUGCAUUCAUCACAUCCAGUCGGUACGUCAGGAUCAAUCUUAUUGUGCAUACAAAUUAGAUCUAUCCAAGGCCUACGACCGUGUCGACUGGGAUUUCUUGGAGAAGGCCCUCAUAAAAUGGGGAUUCUUGGCAAAUUGGGUGGAUCGAAUCAUGGUAUGCAUUCGGUCAGUCAGAUAUUCGGUUAAGUUCAAUUGGAAAUUGUUAAAUAAGUUCUCUCCAACCCGUGGGCUGCGCCAAGGUGAUCCAUUGUCCCCUUUUUAUUCCUUUUUGUCGCUGAUGCUUUAUCUGCAUUGUUGCAUAAAUCCACUCGGGAUGACAGGUUGGAGGCCUUAA